RNAcentral lists this small RNA (185 nucleotides) under Lacticaseibacillus sharpeae JCM 1186 = DSM 20505. Its description in RNAcentral is "Lactobacillus sharpeae JCM 1186 = DSM 20505 Listeria sRNA rli28". It matches the Rfam family "Listeria sRNA rli28". Lineage: Bacteria; Bacillati; Bacillota; Bacilli; Lactobacillales; Lactobacillaceae. The record is from Rfam by way of RNAcentral.
CCUUUUUUGGUAUAAUAAUUGGUGCAUAAGUUUUAAGGGCGGUGGCUAAGGAAUACCCGUAAGGUGGUGGUUCUAUGGGAACAUGGAACAAAUACUGUAAAGGAACUUUAGUCGAUGACUGUUUAUCAGGCAUUGUCGCUGAUGUUGACGUUCGGUCUGUUGAUCGCUGCGCUCAACAAAAACGA